AUGGAGCAGGAUUGUAUCACCGAUCUGUACCGAUCGCUGGGUAAGUCCGUCGGAGCGGAGUUUUCCCCUGAAGAUGUAAGUGUCCUCUACCACAAAGUGUUUCACGUAUCCUCCGACACCAGCGAAGCGUAUUUGGCGAUGAAGAAGAUUGCAGGAGGAGACGAUAGUUGGUCAUGUGUUGGUGAAAAUGUGUUGGAUGUUCUCCUUGAAAUGGAAAGGGAGAAGGAAAAUAAGGAAAAGCUCUACUGGGACCUCCAGCUGCUAAAUGUUGGAAAUCUCAACACUCUCUGUGUGACGGACAACAAAGUUAGAGUCGAUCCUCGUGUGCUGAAUCGUCUCCAAAGCACAGACCCCAAAACGUUCCCAGGUGUGGUUGGUCGGGGGGAGCUGCGCGGGAGUGUGGGAGGUGUGAAGAGACUGAAGAAGGCAGCCAGGCAGUGCUGGGCAAGAUUGGCAUCAGAGAGUGUGCAAAGUCUAUUGCCCUCUCCCUGGCAGGGGCAAAGCCUCGGGGUCAAAGGUCAUGCCUGGGGCUGUGUCUCCCUAUCAGACGUCCUCCUCUUGCUGGAUGUGAAGUAUGAUGCGGUGACCCACUUGCUUUUUACUGAAAUGCUUCAGGAGCACUACACUCUGAGUAUUUGGGGGACCCUGCCGCCAUGGCAACAACAUCAGGAAGAGGAGGGGCUGGGGGAUCUGGCAGAUGAGGCUUUGGAAUCAGGUGAUAUGCUUCGUUUGGCUGAGCUACCAGGAGCCUUAAGGAUAUACAGGGCCUCUGUGGGGAGCCGUCCCCAGUGCAGGGAGCAGUGUUGGUCUGCUGUUUCUUUCCUCUGUGAGUUAUUCACAUUUCAUCAGCAAGAAAGGGACGCGUUAACAGUCCUCGGUGAGAGACUGGACAGGGGGAGCCUAAGGCUCUUGUGUCUCUACAUCAGAUUGGCAACUCUGAGGGCUCGGAGAGAAGAAAUGUCUUACAGCGCUCUACUGGCAGCGCGGCAGUCCUGGGAGACAUGGCCUCAUAUAAAGAGUCCCUGCAGAGCAGAGCAGGCAGCGCUGUGGCUGCACGGUGAAGAGCAAAAAAAAGACUUUAUCUCGGUGUCACCACAGCAGCAGGCGGUGCUGCAGCUGCUGGUGCUGACUCAGGAACAGGAGCGGAAGCACCUGGUCAGGUUGGCAAAUGGGAUCUCAUUAGAGGAUUUGGAAGAACCAGGUUCCACAAUGCCUCCAAAAGAGCAUAACCAUCAACGAGAUGCUUUAAGAAAUGGCUGCAUACAAAGACUUCGAGAACUCUAUGCUGACUUGCAGAUUAACACUCAGACCACCUCAGAGCACCGUCAACCACAACUGCAGCCCAACGCAAGCAGUCAACCGACGGCGUGGUGCCAACACCAUCUGGAGGAUUGCUCCCUGCUCCUUUUGACUCAUCUGAUGGAGCUCCAGGACGUCCAGGCAUCCGCAUUACUGCCAGCACUGAUGGACGAGAGUGCACAGUGCGUCCAAGCUCUGCGAGAAGCAUACGAAUCAGAACUUCAAGCACAGCGGUGCACCAACCUGCUCCAGCUGAUGUCGAACACCCCCUUUGCUUCAGGCUCUAUUCUAUCUCAACGUACAGACUUACCCGAAAAUAGCCCCGAUGAGCGGAUCACAGUCGAUGAUCGCCACAGCAGUGGUGAGCCAGCUGAAGCUCCCACGGUGGAGGCAGAGGGAGAACUAAAUGUGACUCGAGCCGCAGAAAGGACCGACAGAGAGGGCGUCUGGAAAGCCACCGCGGACAGAGGCAAACCUGGACCAAACACUUGCAGCCCCAACCACAACAUGUGCCCCCCCCAACCCCCCUGCCAAGAUUGUGGAGCGGUCGUGGAGGACCUGCCCUACCUGGAGAUCCUGUGUGUAUCAGAUGCAACGCGUCUUGACGCAGAUAGAGAAGCCCACGAAGAAGAAGAAGAAGAAGAAGAAGAAGUGGGCAGUGCCGCAAAGAGCCCCAGGAGGUUUGAGAAACAGGGCUCGCUGAUCACCCUCGCUUGGAGCAAACCAGCAGAGGACGACACAGAGGACGGGGAAGGCCCUGCAGGACGGAGCCGGGAUGCACAGCCAGAGGACGAAAGCGGUGCAGCUGAACGCACAACGUGGGAGAGGACUACUGGAGUGGGGGACAGAGAGGAGAUGAAACCUGCUCUGCUCCACUCUGAUUCCACACCAAGUCAACCUGUCGCACAUUCUGCAGACCCCCAGUGCAGCACAGCAGGACAGAGAGCGCCGGCUGAACAACCCGAGAUGGGAGAAUCUAAAUGUGACCUGCAAACGCGCGGUUUGGCAGCAGAGGCCCUGCAGGCCGCACAUCCACAUCUCAUGGUUGACCCCCCUGAGAUUGAGCAGGGUGGGGGUGACAUCUGCUCUGAACUGAUGAAACAGACCGCUAAUGUAGACAGAGAAGUGCCUGAGGUAGAAAGGUGUGCCACUGCGGCAGAGCCGGAGCUGUGGGACACGAGAGUACGCGAAACCCCUCGUGCAGAGGACCAGAAAUAUAACAGUCGAGCCGCGUUUGACAGUAGCCCUGCGGAGAGGGAUUCCACACUGCUGGGGAGAGAGCGGGCACGAGAACCAGUCUCGGAAAUGGAGAGAGAAAUCACAAUGCGCAACCUGGUGGACAUGCAAAGAAAGGUGGAGCAGAGGCAGCAGAGGGAUAAAGAGAGGCAACUUCUGAGGGUUCAGGAGCGUCUGUCCAUCAUACAGAACAGAAUAGCAGAGGAAGACCUACUUGGCCUGAAACACACAGACCGGCUAAGGCACCUGACAAAAGAUCUACCACAGGAGGGUAAGAACCAGCAGAAGACAGUUGUGAGAGAGCGACUGGAUCAGCUGAGAAGAGAGAGAUCCUAUGUCAUGCAGUCCAAAAGAGAAAGGAAUACUGCUGGAUUUAAGGAGCUCCUGGGUCCAGUAGCUCUCAACAGCAAUGAAAUAGACGAGGGAGCAGACUGA
This is a long non-coding RNA of Gasterosteus aculeatus (three-spined stickleback), 2970 nucleotides long. The record is from Ensembl. NCBI's taxonomy places the organism in Eukaryota, Metazoa, Chordata, Actinopteri, Perciformes, Gasterosteidae.